This 500-nucleotide ribosomal RNA is filed under the name uncultured bacterium. RNAcentral's name for it is "partial 16S ribosomal RNA". It matches the Rfam family "Bacterial small subunit ribosomal RNA", at positions 30 to 523 of the family's 1533-position model. The record is from RNAcentral.
AUUGAACGCUGGCGGCAUGCCUUACACAUGCAAGUCGAACGGCAGCACGGGAGCAAUCCUGGUGGCGAGUGGCGAACGGGUGAGUAAAGUAUCGGAACGUGCCCAGUCGUGGGGGAUAACGUAGCGAAAGUUACGCUAAUACCGCAUACGAUCUAUGGAUGAAAGCGGGGGCUCGCAAGACCUCGCGCGAUUGGAGCGGACGAUAUCAGAUUAGGUAGUUGGUUGGGUAAAGGCUCACCAAGCCGACGAUCUGUAGCUGGUCUGAGAGGACGACCAGCCGCACUGGGACUGAGACACGGCCCAGACUCCUACGGGAGGCAGCAGUGGGGAAUUUUGGACAAUGGGCGAAAGCCUGAUCCAGCCAUGCCGCGUGCAGGAUGAAGGCCUUCGGGUUGUAAACUGCUUUUGUACGGAACGAAAAGGUUUGGCCUAAUUAGCUGAGCUCAUGACGGUAGCGUAAGAAUAAGCACCGGCUAACUACGUGCCAGCAGCCGCCGUAA